Ictalurus punctatus (channel catfish) is the source of this 588-nucleotide long non-coding RNA. The record is from Ensembl. Lineage: Eukaryota; Metazoa; Chordata; Actinopteri; Siluriformes; Ictaluridae.
AAUACGUAAGUGAGUAAACAAGUAAGCAAAUAAGAAAACAAGUAAGUAAAUAAAAAAGUAAGUAAGUAAACAAGUAAGUAAACAGGUAAACAAGAAGGUAAGGAAGUAAAUAAGCAAAUAGAAAACACGUAAGUAAACAAGUAAGUAGAUAAGUAAAUAAGUAAGUAAAUAAGUAAAUAAGUAAGCACUUACUGACUGACUUGCUGAAGUGAGUAAGUAAAUAAGUAUUUAAGUAAGUAUGAAAGGAAGUAAGUGAAUAAAUAAGUAUGUAAGGAAGUCAGCAGGGUAUGUAAAACGUAAGUAUAGAAAUAUCUAAAUACAUAUGCAAGGAAGCAGUUUUAACACACAGGAAAUAAGAAACAUUCGCUUCUAAAAAUAAUAACGCAUCACCGGAACGUGUAGCGCCUCCGGGAUAACAAGCUUCUGAAGGAAGAAAUCAAACGAGAUAUCUUGAGGCUCAUACACAAGGCGGAAUCUGUGAAAUAUCCAAACACGACGCCUGCAAAACACACGGCCGCUUAAUGGAGCAAGACCUAACGAUUAGGAGACGCUGACUGAUGAGAUUAAGAUGUUAACGCUGCUUUACGG